This 253-nucleotide ribosomal RNA is filed under the name uncultured bacterium. Its description in RNAcentral is "partial 16S ribosomal RNA". It matches the Rfam family "Bacterial small subunit ribosomal RNA", at positions 524 to 776 of the family's 1533-position model. The record is from RNAcentral.
UACGGGGGGGGCAAGCGUUGUUCGGAAUUACUGGGCGUAAAGGGUUCGUAGGUGGCUUGCUAAGUCAGACGUGAAAUCCCUCAGCUUAACUGGGGAACUGCGUCUGAUACUGGCGAGCUUGAGUGCAGGAGAGGAACGCAGAAUUCCAGGUGUAGCGGUGAAAUGCGUAGAUAUCUGGAGGAAUACCGGUGGCGAAGGCGGCAUUCUGGACCGACAUUGACGCUGAGGAGCGAAAGCCAGGGGAGCAAACGGG